This 1199-nucleotide long non-coding RNA is filed under the name Salmo salar (Atlantic salmon). Its description in RNAcentral is "lncRNA (ENSSSAG00000082066.1)". Lineage: Eukaryota; Metazoa; Chordata; Actinopteri; Salmoniformes; Salmonidae. The record is from RNAcentral.
UGUUGAUUGAUGUAAGCAGGCUAACGUUAGCUAGCUAGCGUGUGUAAAAUAAUAGCCACCAAUGUUUAACAACGAUGAGGAUCUUCUAGAUGUGGCCACUUUAAGGAAUCAAUUGUGAUCGACGGAGAUACGUUUGAAAAGUUUGGGAGAACAAAUUAUGUCAAUCAGGACAUGAGUCACAGUGAGUGGUCUGAGCAGAGUACAACAUGUGGGUUGCCAGGUCGUCUGACCUUUGAGCAGGGGUUCCCAAACUUUCGAGCAUUGGGGAACAGCCCCACCUGGCAACCCAAUUCUGGAGAGAACCCUCAGCCUACCUAGUACUGAGUCCAGGGGCCGUGGAGAUGGAGGUUGCCCCCUCCUCAGGAAGAAGCUGGGUUACCUGCGUCAAGAGAACGACUCCCUGGAGAACAGACAGCUCAUUAGGGACCUGGAGGUGGCCCAGAUUGAACUGAGCAGCUCCAAGACCAAGGUCUGUCUCCUGGGCUCCACAGUAGGGGCUAAGACCUCCAGUGUGACUGUCACGAGAUAACAGAUCCUGGGCUUGGAGGCCGAUGUAGAGGCCCAAGCCAAAGAACUCCGUGAGCUGAAGGACGAGGUCACCCAGGCACGAACACAGGCCGCCGAGGUCCAGGGACGUCUGGAGGAGGCUGCCCAGCAGUCCUCGCGGCUGGGAUGGAGCUGGGCGAGUGGGCCUUGGCAGCCAGGGAGCUGGCCUCUCCACAGGGAGACGGAGCACAGUGCCAGGAACACAGGCUGGCCCGGUGCCGGAGAGAGAACCAGUAGAGCCAGGCUGAAUGAGCUAGUCUGGAGAACAUACUGAGUCUGAGAGGGCCGUGGAGAUGGAGGUUGGCCCCUCCUCAGGAAGAAGCUGGGUUACCUGCGUCAAGAGAACGACUCCCUGGAGAACAGACAGCUCAUUAGGGACCUGGAGGUGGCCCAGAUUGAACUGAGCAGCUCCAAGACCAAGGUCUGUCUCCUGGGCUCCACAGUAGGGGCUAAGACCUCCAGUGUGACUGUCACGAGAUAACAGAUCCUGGGCUUGGAGGCCGAUGUAGAGGCCCAAGCCAAAGAACUCCGUGAGCUGAAGGACGAGGUCACCCAGGCACGAACACAGGCCGCCGAGGUCCAGGGACGUCUGGAGGAGGCUGCCCAGCAGUCCUCGCGGCUGGGAUGGAGCUGGGCGAGUGGGCCUUGGCAGC